UAGGGAAUUUUCGUCAAUGGGGGCAACCCUGAACGAGCAAUGCCGCGUGAGCGAAGAAGGUCUUCGGAUUGUAAAGCUCUGUUGCCGGGGAAAAAGGAAAGAAAGAGGAAAUGCUUUUUCUUUGGAUGGUACCCGGCCAGAAAGUCACGGCUAACUACGUGCC
RNAcentral lists this ribosomal RNA (163 nucleotides) under uncultured bacterium. Its description in RNAcentral is "partial 16S ribosomal RNA". It matches the Rfam family "Bacterial small subunit ribosomal RNA", at positions 355 to 509 of the family's 1533-position model. The record is from RNAcentral.